UAUUAUUUUAUACUAUUUGAUGAAAUUGUCAGAGAUGCUAAAAUAUUUCCCAUCCACAUAAGGUUUGCACUGUUGGUCAUACUUGGAAACAAAGCAGAUGGCCCAUGUAAUGUUAUUCGAGGCACCAUUGAUGUGUUACCACUUUGGCAACACUUAGUGAAUAUGACGAAAAAUGCCAUGUUUUGUAGUUUUUUUCGGGGAGUGCUGCUUUUUUACAUUCCCCAUGGAUACAUUUGCAGUUUUUAAUUCUGUGAUACUGAAAAUUUGAAACUUCUUGGCUUAUUGCCUAUUUUUUCUCUUACAGUUGCGAAUAACAUUACAGGAGAGUUGCUCUCAACCUUCUGCAGGCUGACAAAUAAGACAGGGUGAUAGAGAGACCAGCCCGAGGUCUUUUUUGGCUUUGUCGCGGAGGCCAAAUAUGGAUUCAAGAAGAAUACACUGAUUCCCCCUUGGACGAUGAAGCACGCUUGGCUCUUUCUUCACCAAAGGACAACAACUCAUCAUCUUUUCCCGCAACAAUGAGGACACCAAUGCAAAGCACUAAUGGCUGGGAUACCAUGGAACAUCAACACUACCGGUUUUACCAUGCUACUUUGCUACUUCCUGCAAGCUUUGAUAGCCAAGAAUAUGUCUACUUCUGUUCAAGUAGAAACUCGUGUCUUUUCCAUGUAUCCUAUAUGUAAAAUGAUCCCAUGAACUAUGUUGUCAGAUCUAAUCCCUUCAAAGUGUUGUCAGAUCUAAUUGUAUCUACUACUACUAUCUUAAGGAUUAAA
Molecule: long non-coding RNA, 773 nt
Organism: Lolium rigidum
Lineage: Eukaryota; Viridiplantae; Streptophyta; Magnoliopsida; Poales; Poaceae
Exons: 2
Source: RefSeq, a predicted model, not a curated record